UAAACGGUGUUUCUUUUCUAAGGUGGACAGCAGCAAGGAAUCAGCUGAAGCAGCUUGUGAUAUACUAUCGCAACUUGUGAAUUGCUCUUUAAAAACACUUGGACUUAUUUCAACUGCUCGACCAAGCUUUAUGGAUUUACCAAAGUCUCACUUUAUCUCUGCACUGACAGUUGUGUUCGUAAACUCCAAAUCCCUGUCUUCGCUUAAGAUAGAUGAUACUCCAGUAGAUGAUCCAUCUCUCAAAGUACUAGUGGCCAACAAUAGUGAUACACUCAAGCUGUUGAAAAUGAGCAGCUGUCCUCAUGUCUCUCCAGCAGGUAUGUUGUGUUUUUUGCUAGACACAUUUUAGUAAAAUGCAUUGCUAUGUUCAAAUUAGAAAAAACUAUGAUCAUUAACCUUGAAGGUGGAUUAAUAUGACUGCUUCAUCUCUUUAAAAUAUUUUUAAUGUAGUAAUAGAAUAGCAUAAGUUCUGUAGGGUUACUAGCCUAGACACUGACUUUCAGCUUAUUUUCUAAUCUUAUUUGAUAAAUUUAUGAAUAGCACAUGCUAGAAAAUGAACAG
RNAcentral lists this long non-coding RNA (561 nucleotides) under Homo sapiens (human). RNAcentral's name for it is "non-protein coding lnc-FBXL3-1:2". Lineage: Eukaryota; Metazoa; Chordata; Mammalia; Primates; Hominidae. The record is from RNAcentral.